AUGUGCUCGCUUUUUUUUCAGGUCACACCCUCUACCCAUUGGGCAUUUGAGCACAGAGUUACAGUGCACAUUCUCUUGGCAAGCCUCCAAUUGCGCUUUCUGGAACUUCUCUUUCCAACCAUUCAUACAGGCUUUUCCAGAUCACAGAUGAAAACCUCUUACUUCCUUUGUCACUCCCAUAGACUAAAGCUCCUUCUUUGUGAAGAUGACUCAAGGAGGGAGAGAAGAGGAGAAGCCACAGCCCAUCAACGUCUCUGGGCAUCACACCCCACUUGGCUGGACUCCAGGACGUCUUAUGGAUGCUUUACGGUGAAGCUACUGCUAACUGAAGGAAUGCCCCUUGUAUUUUCCUACAAAAUUCCCAGCACUUUUUACCUCUCCAGUCACCGUCGGAAGUGAUUACCAUUCUUUUUGCACUGAUUCGUCACCAAGGUUGACAGAAGCACCUUUUUCGCCUUUUAUGAAUGAACUCAUCCUCCUCCUGUCCUACCUGAGACGUCCUUAGAUGCCUUGUAACUCAUUGCCUGGCUUCCACCAUCAAUUGUACCGAAGAUGUCCCUCCUUGACUAGCCCUUUGAUCAUGCUCCUGCCUCCUCAGAACCUGUCAGAAGACUUUUAUUUUCUACUCUCAGCAAAUGACACUUAGGAUCACAGGCCCUUCACUCAAGCUGGUUAUCGUUACGCACCCAUUGCUUGCUUUUUUCUCCCAUCUGUUAGUACCAAACACCCUGCCCUCAUGAAAUCCUAUUCUUUAUUUUAAAAACAGUUAAAUCAAUAAAUAGGAUAAGAAAUAGCUCUUCUCUAUAGCA
RNAcentral lists this long non-coding RNA (809 nucleotides) under Felis catus (domestic cat). RNAcentral's name for it is "lncRNA (ENSFCAG00000053789.1)". The record is from RNAcentral. Lineage: Eukaryota; Metazoa; Chordata; Mammalia; Carnivora; Felidae.